This 468-nucleotide ribosomal RNA is filed under the name uncultured bacterium. Its description in RNAcentral is "partial 16S ribosomal RNA". It matches the Rfam family "Bacterial small subunit ribosomal RNA", at positions 28 to 507 of the family's 1533-position model. The record is from RNAcentral.
GACGAACGCUGGCGGCGUGCUUAACACAUGCAAGUCGAACGGAAAGGCCCUGCUUUUGUGGGGUGCUCGAGUGGCGAACGGGUGAGUAACACGUGAGUAACCUGCCCUUGACUUUGGGAUAACUUCAGGAAACUGGGGCUAAUACCGGAUAGGAGCUCCUGCUGCAUGGUGGGGGUUGGAAAGUUUCGGCGGUUGGGGAUGGACUCGCGGCUUAUCAGCUUGUUGGUGGGGUAGUGGCUUACCAAGGCUUUGACGGGUAGCCGGCCUGAGAGGGUGACCGGCCACAUUGGGACUGAGAUACGGCCCAGACUCCUACGGAAGGCAGAAGUGGGGAAUAUUGCACAAUGGGCGGAAGCCUGAUGCAGCAACGCCGCGUGCGGGAUGACGGCCUUCGGGUUGUAAACCGCUUUCGCCGGUAACGAAGCGUGAGUGACGGUAAUGGGUAAAGAAGCACCGGCUAACUACGUG